RNAcentral lists this ribosomal RNA (443 nucleotides) under uncultured bacterium. Its description in RNAcentral is "partial 16S ribosomal RNA". It matches the Rfam family "Bacterial small subunit ribosomal RNA", at positions 338 to 795 of the family's 1533-position model. The record is from RNAcentral.
CCUACGGGAGGCAGCAGUGGGGAAUAUUGGGCAAUGGGCGAAAGCCUGACCCAGCAACGCCGCGUGAAGGAAGAAGGAUUUCGGGUUGUAAACUUCUAUCCUCAGGGACGAAGCAAGCGAUGGUACCUGAGGAAUCAGCGACUGACAACUUGGUGCCAGCAGCCGCGGUAAUACGUAGGGGGCAAGCGUCAUCCGGUUGUACGGGGUGUAAAGGGGGCGCAGGCGGCGAUGCAAGUCAGAAGUGAAAGCCCGGGGCCCAACCCCGGGACUGCUCGUGAAACUGCAUGGCUGGAGUACAGGAGGGGCAGGUGGAAUUCCUAGUGUAGCGGUGAAAUGCGUAGAUAUUAGGAGGAACACCGGUGGCGAAGGCGGCCUGCUGGACUUUGACUGACGUUGAGGCUCGAAGGCGUGGGGAGCAAACAGGAUUAGAUACCCUUGUAGUC